AGACAGCAUUAUGCUGUCU
Molecule: unclassified non-coding RNA, 19 nt
Filed under: synthetic construct
Description: RNA (5'-R(*AP*GP*AP*CP*AP*GP*CP*AP*UP*UP*AP*UP*GP*CP*UP*GP*UP*CP*U)-3') from synthetic construct (PDB 6ZLC, chain D)
Source: RNAcentral